RNAcentral lists this long non-coding RNA (377 nucleotides) under Olea europaea subsp. europaea. The record is from RNAcentral. Lineage: Eukaryota; Viridiplantae; Streptophyta; Magnoliopsida; Lamiales; Oleaceae.
GAGGAUAUUGUAAAAUGUCACCAUCAAUCGGUAUUCAUGUAAAUGAAAAUAUUGAGCUGGAGUACUUGUGUCGUAGUUGCUUCAAUCGUUCAGUCAGUCAUGAUCACAAGAUUUGGACCAUUGCUGAGUGUUUGUAGAGUUCCUCAUGCUUAAUCCAGACAAGAGUUCGACAAGAAAAAUUCUCUGGAAUGCUACGUUCUCAUGUGUAUAGUAUGUCGUUUGGUCCAAACCGUUUUCUUUGCUCAAAUUCAUUUUUGGGAUGAACCUGAAUUUACACUUUAAUUUUCAAAUAUUUCUCUUUUUUAUGUGUGUUGCUCAAUAUCAUUUUUAGUUUGGUAAAGCUUUGUAGUACAUGAUAAUCACUAUGUAAAAAGUCG